Molecule: ribosomal RNA, 274 nt
Filed under: Bacillus safensis
Lineage: Bacteria; Bacillati; Bacillota; Bacilli; Caryophanales; Bacillaceae
Description: partial 16S ribosomal RNA
Rfam family: Bacterial small subunit ribosomal RNA
Source: RNAcentral
UUUUUCGGAGAGUUUGAUCCUGGCUCAGGACGAACGCUGGCGGCGUGCCUAAUACAUGCAAGUCGAGCGGACAGAAGGGAGCUUGCUCCCGGAUGUUAGCGGCGGACGGGUGAGUAACACGUGGGUAACCUGCCUGUAAGACUGGGAUAACUCCGGGAAACCGGAGCUAAUACCGGAUAGUUCCUUGAACCGCAUGGUUCAAGGAUGAAAGACGGUUUCGGCUGUCACUUACAGAUGGACCCGCGGCGCAUUAGCUAGUUGGUGGGGUAAUGGC